This 258-nucleotide ribosomal RNA is filed under the name uncultured bacterium. Its description in RNAcentral is "partial 16S ribosomal RNA". It matches the Rfam family "Bacterial small subunit ribosomal RNA", at positions 524 to 776 of the family's 1533-position model. The record is from RNAcentral.
UACGUAGGGCGCAAGCGUUUGUCCGGAAUUAUUGGGCGUAAAGAGCUCGUAGGCGGCCUGUUGCGUCCGCUGUGAAAUCCCGGGGCUCAACCCCGGGCCGUGCAGUGGAUACGGGCGUGGCUAGAGGCAGGCAGGGGAGAAGCGGAAUUCCUGGUGUAGCGGUGAAAUGCGCAGAUAUCAGGAGGAACACCGGUGGCGAAGGCGGUUCUCUGGGCCUGUACUGACGCUGAGGAGCGAAAGCGUGGGGGAGCGAACAGG